RNAcentral lists this transfer RNA (76 nucleotides) under Deltaproteobacteria bacterium. RNAcentral's name for it is "tRNA-Val". It matches the Rfam family "tRNA". Rfam says of the family: Transfer RNA (tRNA) molecules are approximately 80 nucleotides in length. Their secondary structure includes four short double-helical elements and three loops (D, anti-codon, and T loops). Further hydrogen bonds mediate the characteristic L-shaped molecular structure. tRNAs have two regions of fundamental functional importance: the anti-codon, which is responsible for specific mRNA codon recognition, and the 3' end, to which the tRNAs corresponding amino acid is attached (by aminoacyl-tRNA synthetases). tRNAs cope with the degeneracy of the genetic code in two manners: having more than one tRNA (with a specific anti-codon) for a particular amino acid; and 'wobble' base-pairing, i.e. permitting non-standard base-pairing at the 3rd anti-codon position. The record is from RNAcentral. Lineage: Bacteria; Pseudomonadati; Myxococcota; Myxococcia.
GGGCCGGUAGCUCAGUCGGGAGAGCGCCGCUCUCACACGGCGGAGGUCGCUGGUUCGAUCCCAGUCCGGCCCACCA